The sequence is a transfer RNA, 96 nucleotides long. It matches the Rfam family "tRNA". Rfam says of the family: Transfer RNA (tRNA) molecules are approximately 80 nucleotides in length. Their secondary structure includes four short double-helical elements and three loops (D, anti-codon, and T loops). The record is from Rfam.
GGGCCCGUAGCUUAGCCAGGUCGGAACUGCUCAAAAGCAGCGACAAGCGCUCGGCUGAUAACCGAGAGGUCCUGCGUUCAAAUCGCAGCGGGCCCA